RNAcentral lists this ribosomal RNA (412 nucleotides) under uncultured Chloroflexota bacterium. Its description in RNAcentral is "bacterial SSU rRNA". It matches the Rfam family "Bacterial small subunit ribosomal RNA", at positions 958 to 1385 of the family's 1533-position model. Lineage: Bacteria; Bacillati; Chloroflexota. The record is from RNAcentral.
AACGCGAAGAACCUUACCUGGACUUGACAUGCAAGUAGUAGGCCAUGGAAACAUGUCCGACCGCAAGGAGCUUGCACAGGUGCUGCAUGGCUGUCGUCAGCUCGUGCCGUGAGGUGUAGGGUUAAGUCCUGAAACGAGCGCAACCCUCGGCGUUAGUUAGAAUGUCUAACGCAACUGCCCGUGACAAGCGGGAGGAAGGUGGGGAUGACGUCAAGUCAGCAUGGCCUUUAUGUCCAGGGCGACACACACGCUACAAUGGUCGGUACAAUGGGCAGCCAAGCCGCAAGGCGGAGCUAAUCCUAUCAAAGCCGGCCUCAGUUCAGAUUGUGGGCUGCAACUCGCCCACAUGAAGUCGGAGUUGCUAGUAACCGCGCGUCAGCACAGUGCGGUGAAUACGUUCCCGGGCCUUGUA